RNAcentral lists this ribosomal RNA (253 nucleotides) under uncultured bacterium. RNAcentral describes it as "partial 16S ribosomal RNA". It matches the Rfam family "Bacterial small subunit ribosomal RNA", at positions 524 to 776 of the family's 1533-position model. The record is from RNAcentral.
UACGGAGGAUCCAAGCGUUAUCCGGAUUUAUUGGGUUUAAAGGGAGCGUAGGCGGCCUUUUAAGUCAGGGGUGAAAGACGGUGGCUCAACCAUCGCAGUGCCCUUGAUACUGAAGGGCUUGAAUGUAGCUGAGGUAGGCGGAAUGUGACAAGUAGCGGUGAAAUGCAUAGAUAUGUCACAGAACACCGAUUGCGAAGGCAGCUUACCAAACUAUGAUUGACGCUGAGGCUCGAAAGCGUGGGGAUCGAACAGG